AGGUUACCUGCGCAGACCAGGAGAAUGGAAGCUAUGAGGACAGCAACUUUUCUGAAACCCAUCAUGACAAAGACUCUGCAAGUGGUGGAGAUGCUUCAGCUUCUGGAGCAGAUACGGAAGAGCCCAAGUGUGCAGACGGCCAUCAGCAUAUACCAACAAGUCCUCUCCCGGAACCUGAAGAAAAAGCAAUAGAGACAAACCCUGAACAGGCAGAAGAAAUAAAACCUAGUGAGCUCGAGGAGGAUGAGGAUGCUGAAGAGCCUGACCUGACCUGCUGUGACCUUUGUAUUUGAUGGUGGAAAUCCCU
Long non-coding RNA from Cercocebus atys (sooty mangabey), 307 nucleotides. RefSeq lists it as uncharacterized. The record is from RefSeq and is a predicted model, not a curated record. NCBI's taxonomy places the organism in Eukaryota, Metazoa, Chordata, Mammalia, Primates, Cercopithecidae. The transcript has 5 exons.